CCAAUAGCGCAUAUUAAAGUUGUUGCAGUUAAAAAGCUCGUAGUUGAAUUUCGGGAUUGGCGCAUCGGUCGUGCCUCACGGGGUAUGAACUGGUGCAGUCAAUUUCUCACCUUCUGGAGAACCGCGAUGUCCUUAAUUGGGUGCCGCGGGGAACCAGGACCUUUACUUUGAAAAAAUUAGAGUGUUUAAAGCAGGCAUUUUUGCUUGAAUACAUUAGCAUGGAAUAAUAAAAUAGGACGGCAUGGUUCUAUUUUGUUGGUUUCUAGGACCACCGUAAUGAUUAAUAGGGAUAGUUGGGGGCAUUAGUAUUCAAUUGUCAGAGGUGAAAUUCUUGGAUUUAUUGAAGACUAACUACUGCGAAAGCAUUUGCCAAGGAUGUUUUCAUUAAUCAAGAACGAAAGUUAGGGGAUCGAAGACGACCAGAUACCGUCGUAGUCUUAACCAUAAACUAUGCCGACUAGGAAUCAGACGAUGUUAAUUUUUUAAUGACUCGUUUGGCACCUUACG
This 507-nucleotide ribosomal RNA is filed under the name uncultured Glomeromycotina. Its description in RNAcentral is "partial small subunit ribosomal RNA". It matches the Rfam family "Eukaryotic small subunit ribosomal RNA", at positions 591 to 1092 of the family's 1831-position model. The record is from RNAcentral. Lineage: Eukaryota; Fungi; Glomeromycota.